Molecule: ribosomal RNA, 497 nt
Filed under: uncultured bacterium
Lineage: Bacteria
Description: partial 16S ribosomal RNA
Rfam family: Bacterial small subunit ribosomal RNA
Source: RNAcentral
GAUGAACGCUGGCGGCGUGCCUAAUACAUGCAAGUCGAGCGAACAGACGAGGAGCUUGCUCCUCUGACGUUAGCGGCGGACGGGUGAGUAACACGUGGAUAACCUACCUAUAAGGCUGGGAUAACUUCGGGAAACCGGAGCUAAUACCGGAUAAUAUAUUGAACCGCAUGGUUCAAUAGUGAAAGACGGUUUUGCUGUCACUUAUAGAUGGAUCCGCGCCGCAUUUGCUAGUUGGUAAGGUAACGGCCUACCAAGGCAACGAUGCGUAGCCGACCUGAGAGGGGGAUCGGCCACACUGGAACUGAGACACGGUCCAGACUCCUACGGGAGGCAGCAGUAGGGAAUCUUCCGCAAUGGGCGAAAGCCUGACGGAGCAACGCCGAGUGAGUGAUGAAGGUCUUCGGAUCGUAAAACUCUGUUAUUAGGGAAGAACAAAUGUGUAAGUAACUAUGCACGUCUUGACGGUACCUAAUCAGAAAGCCACGGCUAACUACGUG